AGUCGUGGCGGCAACAUUAAACAGGCAUUAAGCCGCCAGCAUUCCCCUUAUUGGGGAGGUUGCA
Bacillus glycinifermentans is the source of this 64-nucleotide non-coding RNA. The record is from Rfam. NCBI's taxonomy places the organism in Bacteria, Bacillati, Bacillota, Bacilli, Caryophanales, Bacillaceae.